ACGCUCGACACCUACGGGAGCAGCAGUAGGGAAUCUUCCACAAUGGACGCAAGUCUGAUGGAGCAACGCCGCGUGAGUGAAGAAGGUCUUCGGAUCGUAAAACUCUGUUGUUAGAGAAGAACACGAGUGAGAGUAACUGUUCAUUCGAUGACGGUAUCUAACCAGCAAGUCACGGCUAACUACGUGCCCNNNCGCGUAGUACUGNGCGGCGNGNAG
RNAcentral lists this ribosomal RNA (216 nucleotides) under uncultured bacterium. Its description in RNAcentral is "partial 16S ribosomal RNA". It matches the Rfam family "Bacterial small subunit ribosomal RNA", at positions 328 to 538 of the family's 1533-position model. The record is from RNAcentral.